Long non-coding RNA from Dermochelys coriacea (leatherback sea turtle), 857 nucleotides. RefSeq lists it as uncharacterized. The record is from RefSeq and is a predicted model, not a curated record. NCBI's taxonomy places the organism in Eukaryota, Metazoa, Chordata, Testudines, Dermochelyidae. The transcript is spliced from 3 exons.
CCCUCCAGUUAGAGGCUCCACUGAGAGAGACAGCUCAGUGUUAACCACUUCAUGAUCACAAGGAAACCGGAACGGUGGCAUCAUGCAAGUCAGGAGGUGGAAGUGCCCCUGCAUGGGAGCAGGACGCACAAUGCUGCAGCAGGGGAGAGGCUCCCUGGUCCUUUGGAUUCUCAUUCAGAGAAGAUAGUGGGGAGGAAAAAGAGCAGAUCGCUCUGAGCUGUGAGGUGCUGGCUUCCAAUGCAAAUGACGGCAGUUUUGACAUCUGUAGAAUGGUGAUAAUAAUGCCCACUUGCUUCACAAGAAUGUUGGGAGGAUCAAUUCACCUUUGUGAAGGGCUUUGAGAUUCUGAGACGGAAGGAACUACAGAAGGUUUGUCAUUCACCAGUGGCUAGGAUCUGCCUCACUACCCUUCCUACUUGACCCCGUUCUCUGCAUUCCCACCUCCAUACUUCCUUCCAGACUGCUCCACUUGCUCCAGCGAGAUGGAUGUCACAUUACAGCUCUUACGGUGCCAAACACCAUUACAGCUUUAUUUAGACAUGUGGAGGAGCCAUCUGUUCCGUUUUGCAGGAGUCUUGAUUCUUGCAUACAGCCCUUUACCCUCCAGGUCCUGUCACAGUGGCUUAUGCAAGGGUUCGCUGACGUGACAGCUGACUGAAAGCUAAUGACCAAGGACAUUGCAGUUUCGUAUGGGGAUUUAAAAAAAAAAUUCCAACAUGUAUUUCUUUGCCAAUGUUUCUCUUCUUUCCACACAGCCCAUCUCUCCAGGGAUGAGAUGGGGCAGGCCUGUGGCAGAUUGGAGACCUAGUGCUUAGAGCUGGUCAAAAAAUGUUCAACAAAAUAUUUUCCUGUGCCAA